RNAcentral lists this ribosomal RNA (485 nucleotides) under uncultured Bacteroidota bacterium. RNAcentral describes it as "bacterial SSU rRNA". It matches the Rfam family "Bacterial small subunit ribosomal RNA", at positions 379 to 864 of the family's 1533-position model. Lineage: Bacteria; Pseudomonadati; Bacteroidota. The record is from RNAcentral.
GAGUGUGAACCAGCCAAGUAGCGUGAAGGAUGACUGCCCUAUGAGUUGUAAACUUCUUUUAUACGGGAAUAAAGUGAGGCACGUGUGCCUUUUUGUAUGUACCGUAUGAAUAAGGAUCGGCUAACUCCGUGCCAGCAGCCGCGGUAAUACGGAGGAUCCGAGCGUUAUCCGGAUUUAUUGGGUUUAAAGGGAGCGUAGGCGGACGCUUAAGUCAGUUGUGAAAGUUUGCGGCUCAACCGUAAAAUUGCAGUUGAUACUGGGUGUCUUGAGUACAGUAGAGGCAGGCGGAAUUCGUGGUGUAGCGGUGAAAUGCUUAGAUAUCACGAAGAACUCCGAUUGCGAAGGCAGCUUGCUGGACUGUAACUGACGCUGAUGCUCGAAAGUGUGGGUAUCAAACAGGAUUAGGUACCCUGGUAGUCCACACAGUAAACGAUGAAUACUCGCUGUUUGCGAUAUACAGUAAGCGGCCAAGCGAAAGCGUUAAG